AUGAAUCUCUUUUUUGGACGGUUGUCGCCUAACUGCGCUCUUCCUCCUCUGACCUAACUGAGUCUCUCAAUUCACUCUUGAUAGGCCAAACCUAUCGGAUUCGUUGAUGAGCCAAACCUAUAGGAUGCUUAUAUUGUAGAUGGAAGCCCUAGAAAUCACAUAAUCAUUUCAUUCUCUUUCAUGCUGCACUUCUAUCCCUCUUCUUCAAAACCCUAGGGAGAAUCGAGAUUCGAGAGUGAAAUUCGGAGUUGAUAUCAGUGGGUUUUGUGAUUUAACAAUGGAAUCAGCAUUACCAGUAAAGAAAAUCAUGGAAGACGAAGAAGAAGGAGAAGAAAGUGAUAGAGGUAGUCAAAUGCGUCAUGUACCGUUCUUCAACAGAUCCUUAUGUUACGGCUGCUACUGGAUCUCCAAAUGUUAUGUCUCAGAAGUAUAAAUAUGAUUCUAGGGUAAUGGGUUUAUACUAAGAUUGAUCUCUUUUCCUCCAUCUCGAAGGUUUGAUUUCUUACUUUCUCCCCGCUUGUAUGUUUUGGUGUUGAGUUCUAGGGUUUAAUUUCUCAAUUCUCUUAUUAUCUGCGUUGGAAUUGUUUUACUUCGGUUAGAAAUGGAUGGAUGCAGUUAAUUCAAAAUCUAAGGUUCCAUUUUUUAGGCUUUAUUUUUAUUUUAUUUAUAAGAUUGAAGGAAAUUUUCAUUUUGAUGUAUAUGUAAAUUGGUAAACCCUAGAUUGGGAUUUGAAAAUCCAUGGCAGAUCUCAGUUCUCCUGUUUUUGGUUGAAGCCAGAUUACUAUUUAUAAUGUUUUCAUUCAUUGUGCUUAAAUGGAACAUGAUUAAUGCUCUGUUUUAUGGUUAGUGUGUGCUCAGUUCUGUGCUCGGCUCUCCUGUUAUUCUGAAUUGUAGUUCUGUGCUUAGUGAAACAUGAUUGAUUACCAUUCUGUUGAAAUGUGUUUAAUAAGUCUGAAAUUUGAGUGGCGAUCAGCUGCACUGUAGGGAACGAAUGUCUUACUCUUUGGAAAAUAAUUAGGUGGCUUAUCUUGGACUGAGGAUUAUUAGGGACUCUCAGUUCUUUCUGUCUGCAGCUAGAUAUAAUUGUUUAAUUAUUUUGUUAGCAUCUUAUUAGCAUUGAGUGAUUACUUCACCUAUUAGCAGCAGCUCAGACACGUGCUUUAGUCAUUAGUCACUUGUCUUUGAUUCGUUUUUCUUUUUCAAACAGAAUUUUCUUUUUCCAGCACCAACACAUGAUCAGGUAAGCUGAUGAUAUGUGCACCAUCUUUAUGCUGAUGGUGGUCAUUUAAAGCGCUACUUACAGUAGGGCAGAGCGAUUGCUAGACAACUGUACUUGGGAUUUUUUGUCCCAGGGAGACUCGAAUGUUUGUCGAAGCUGGUAUCCAUGUAGCUGACAGUUGCGGUUCUAUUUAUGUGCUUAUUUGAACUCUUCUGGUAACAAAGGAAGAGACCUCAGCUUCAUUGUAUGUGGAAGCUCUAUUGGACACGAGUGGUAUUAGUAUUCAGUUCUGGUGAAGGGACAUUGUGGGGGAUUUGGUGUUGGUGGGUAGGUGUUGAGGAAGGACGAUCAUGUUAUAGGAGUCUUUUUUUGGUGCCUAUGUAGGAUUAGAAGAUGGUGGUGUUGGUGUUGCAGGCGGUGGUGGACUAGCAGAGGCUGCCUGUGGAGGUAGAUGCUUGUACACCAAAGCCUGUUUUAAGAGAGGAUAUGCAGAAGAUGGUGUUUACAAGCCCAAGGCGCACAUGGAUACUGAGAAUGAAGGGGAAGUUGAAGAUGAUUAGGCACUAGUGGAGGAGGCAUAUGAUCAGGAUCCUUCAGCGCAGAAGUGUUUGGGCACCGACGAUGUUACCAUGGUUAAUUGUGAAUUUGUUGUUACAUGAAUCUUUUUACUUCUUCUUGACUUUUGAUAUUGGAUGUGUGGUGAUUAUGUUGCUUUCUCAGACUAUUAUAAUGCUUACUUAUUUGGUUUGCAAUUGUUUUGUAUCUCUAGUUGUAUAGAUGUAACUUGCAAUGAAUCCGAAUUUGCUUCAUAUAUAUUGCUAGAUAUUUGGCGUUGAUCGAAAGGGUUACAUAUGCAUAAUCGGUGCUGGUGUUUCUAAAACUCAAAUUCUUGCUGCUGCUUUUAAGAAGGCCAGGAAGUGAAGGUCGAUGUGCGGGAGGAGAAGCAGAAAAAUGAAGCGUUGGAAGCACAGUUGGAUAUUGAAAGACAGAAAAACUACACUGUAGUAUAUGAAAGUGGAUUGAAUACAACUCUAAUGUUCAAAUAUGUAGUAUCUUUCGAUUUGUAUUUGAAGAUUUCAUUUUCUUGGAUGUUAUGUUGGGUAAUUAAUAAAAUUUAAUUUCAGAUUCA
Molecule: long non-coding RNA, 2348 nt
Organism: Papaver somniferum (opium poppy)
Lineage: Eukaryota; Viridiplantae; Streptophyta; Magnoliopsida; Ranunculales; Papaveraceae
Exons: 5
Source: RefSeq, a predicted model, not a curated record